Long non-coding RNA from Tupaia belangeri chinensis (Chinese tree shrew), 615 nucleotides. RefSeq lists it as uncharacterized. Lineage: Eukaryota; Metazoa; Chordata; Mammalia; Scandentia; Tupaiidae. The record is from RefSeq and is a predicted model, not a curated record. The transcript is spliced from 3 exons.
CAAACUGGAAGGGUUGUACCUCCUUCUCUGAAGGCUUCUUCACUAAGUGGAUAUUAGAGUCGCUCAGACUUUCCAUGAAAGGACUCUCUUAAGUUUCCUCUUGUAUGCACAGUUAUGGCUAGGAUGACGUUAUAUGGUGGACUCACAUACAAGACCCUUUUGUGGACUUUCAAAGUAAAGCCAGAUGUUAGCUGCUGCUUCCAUGGAGACUAAAUGAGGUUUCAGAGUGGACCAAAUCUCACUUAAUGGGAGGUCAGAGCCACUGCCAAGAGCAUUUCUUAUACUUUCCUAUCAGAAGACAGAGCCGACGAUGAGACAAACCCCCAUGACAGGAUUGUGGUGCAGAUUAAGUGACGUCUGUGCAUCACCACGCACAAACCAGUGAUUUUUGUCUUGCAUCUUCAAACCAAAAUGGAUCUCAGUGCUGUUAAACUACAGGAGACGUUGCCCUGCCCUUUCCCACGCCCACGCCCACGUGAGAGCAGCAAAGGAACUCGUUCCCUACAGGAAUGAAGCCAAACACGUAUCAGACUCCAUUUGGUAUUCCGCAUGGGAAGCAGAGUACCCCGUAUGUACCUGUCGUGUGAGGACACAUGCUGAAGGCCGGCUGGUGGC